GGCCUGCGCAUGCGCGCGCCCCAGGGCCCAGCCCUGUUCCUGCUCCGGCUCCUGCGGGGAUGGAUGCUUCACGCAGUAAGCGACCUAAGUCGCGGAAGCGUAGACACCCGGCUUUUCCCGCGUGCUCUAUCGGGCUCCCCUGGACACGGAGGGUGGAGCAGAAAGAGCAGAGGGGCCGGUGGGAGCCAUGGGGAGUCCGCCUAGCUCCAGAGGAAAGUGCUGCUUUCAACAUCUGCCACAUUUGCAAGAAGAGCAAAGGUGGCCCAUUUGAGACCACCCUUGAACUAAACCAUCCAGUGAGCCCCUGAGGUCGGGACAGAAGUGGCCAUGACCUUCCUCAAGCAGGGACUGUGGUGGAGCCCACCUUAUCCAGCACAAGGUGGCCUGCUGACUUCUGGUGACAGUGAUGCCAACUUCCUGGCUGUCCAAGGUUCAAAUCUUGGUCUUAAUCCUCCUGGCCUUCUCUCAUCAAUGGCCAGAGCCACCCUAGCUAACAAGGUGCCCAGGGACUCCGGGGUGGGAGAAGUCCAGCUUCUUCUUAGCUGAGGACAUUUGAGUCUCGUCACAGCCCCCAAAAGAAUACUCAUUUUUGUAGCUGGAGGGCCUGGCCUCUGUCUAUCUUUGCUUUUCCAGAAGCUGACAAGUACCUGCCGGAAAAACUGCCUCUUUUCCCUCCCGUGCUUGGAGCAGGCAUUGCUGACAGAUCACAGCUGCUGGGCCCAAAGGUCCCUUUGCACGCGGGACUUCAGGAAGUUGCUGCUGACCUAUGGGAGUUGGUGCAGAAAGAUGAAAUUUGUUAUCCUUGGCUGUAUCAACUCUCUCUCCUCUCCUUGGUGGUGAUAGUUUUGUUCUUAAAAGCCUCUUGUGAGAGAAUUUGUGGAUGAAGAACCUGUAAGAUCACAAGUGAAACAAUUUAUUGAUGUCAAUAGAUUUAUACACGUUCAUUAAGAAUCAAAACUAAACUAAAACAUCAGUCUGACUAAAGAGACCACCACAGAUAUUUCAUAUGCUGUACAUCAGUAACAAAGGGUACCAAAUAGUUAAUAUCCAUGUACUAGUCACAUGAGAAAUGUUUUAGGGUCAUUGACCAGUGUAGUCAGUACAGUGGUCCCAUGGUAUUUGUGGGGGAUUGGUUCCAGGAAUCUCUUGGACACCAACUCCGUGGAUGAUCAGACAAUAUAAAAUGUGGGUCAGGUGCGGUGGCUCAUACCUGUAAUCCCAGCAUUUUGCGAGAAUCACUUGAGGCCAGUUCAAGAUCAGCCUGUGCAACAUAGCAAGACUCCACCUCUAAAAAAAAAAAAAAAAAAAAAAAUUAGCCCAGUGCAGCGGUGUGCACCUGUAGUCCCAGCUUCUCAUGAGGUUGAGGUGAAAAGAUCACUUGGGCCCAGGAGUUUGAGGCUGCAGUGAGCUGUGACUGCCACUGCACUCCAGCCUGAGUGACAAAGCAAGUCCCUGUCUCUUAAAAAAUAAAAUAAAAUAAUAGCAUUUGAAUGUAACCUACACACAUCUCCCAUAUACUUUAAAUCAUCUGUAGAUUGCUUAUAAUACCUAAUACACUGUAAAUGCUAUGUAAA
This is a long non-coding RNA of Homo sapiens (human), 1574 nucleotides long. Lineage: Eukaryota; Metazoa; Chordata; Mammalia; Primates; Hominidae. The record is from Ensembl.